This 433-nucleotide ribosomal RNA is filed under the name uncultured bacterium. Its description in RNAcentral is "partial 16S ribosomal RNA". It matches the Rfam family "Bacterial small subunit ribosomal RNA", at positions 29 to 507 of the family's 1533-position model. The record is from RNAcentral.
AACGAACGCUGGCGGCAGGCCUAACACAUGCAACUCGAGCGGACCCUUCGGGGUUAGCGGCGGACGGGUGAGUAACGCGUGGGAAUAUGCCCUUCUCUACGGAAUAGUCCUGGGAAACUGGGGGUAAUACCGUAUACGCCCUUUGGGGGAAAGAUUUAUCGGGGAAGGAUUAGCCCGCGUUGGAUUAGGUAGUUGGUGGGGUAAUGGCCUACCAAGCCGACGAUCCAUAGCUGGUUUGAGAGGAUGAUCAGCCACACUGGGACUGAGACACGGCCCAGACUCCUACGGGAGGCAGCAGUGGGGAAUCUUAGACAAUGGGGGCAACCCUGAUCGAGCCAUGCCGCGUGAGUGAUGAAGGCCUUAGGGUUGUAAAGCUCUUUCAGCUGGGAAGAUAAUGACGGUACCAGCAGAAGAAGCCCCGGCUAACUCCGUG